Molecule: ribosomal RNA, 535 nt
Filed under: Termitomyces heimii
Lineage: Eukaryota; Fungi; Basidiomycota; Agaricomycetes; Agaricales; Lyophyllaceae
Description: eukaryotic LSU rRNA
Rfam family: Eukaryotic large subunit ribosomal RNA
Source: RNAcentral
GGAAAAGAAACUAACAAGGAUUCCCCUAGUAACUGCGAGUGAAGCGGGAAAAGCUCAAAUUUAAAAUCUGGUAGUCUUUGGCUGCCCGAGUUGUAAUCUAGAGAAGCAUUAUCCGCGCUGGACCGUGUACAAGUGUCCUGGAAUGGACYAUCAUAGAGGGUGAGAAUCCCGUCUUUGACACGGACUCCCAGGGCUUUGUGAUGUGCUCUCAAAGAGUCGAGUUGUUUGGGAAUGCAGCUCUAAAUGGGUGGUAAAUUCCAUCUAAAGCUAAAUAUUGGCGAGAGACCGAUAGCGAACAAGUACCGUGAGGGAAAGAUGAAAAGAACUUUGGAAAGAGAGUUAAACAGUACGUGAAAUUGCUGAAAGGGAAACGCUUGAAGUCAGUCGCGUUGGCUGGGRAUCAACCUUGCUUCUUGNUUGGCUUACUUCCCAGUUGACGGGUCAGCAUCAGUUUUGACCRGUGGAUAAAGGUUAGGGGAAUGUGGCACCYYCGGGUGUGUUAUAGCCCYUGRUCAUAUACAUUGGUUGGGACUGA